This 311-nucleotide ribosomal RNA is filed under the name uncultured eukaryote. RNAcentral describes it as "partial 18S ribosomal RNA". It matches the Rfam family "Eukaryotic small subunit ribosomal RNA", at positions 1470 to 1796 of the family's 1831-position model. The record is from RNAcentral.
CCCUUAGAUGUUCUGGGCUGCACGCGCGCUACAAUAAUACGCACAGCGAGUAUCACCGAGCUCGAAAGGGCAAGGUAAACAAUAGAAAAGGUACUGUAAUGGUUAUAGAUCCUUGUAAUUAUUGAUCUUCAACGAGGAAUUCCUAGUAAGUAUGUGUCAUCAUCACGCACUGAUUACGUCCCUGCCCUUUGUACACACCGCCCGUCGCCCCUACCGAUUGGGUGAGCCGAUGAAACUCUCGGAUGUAGGCUAUUCAUAGCCCGCAGAAGAGAUUUGAAUCGUAGCGCUUAGAGGAAGGAGAAGUCGUAACA